CAGGCCUAACACAUGCAAGUCGAGCGCGCCCUUCGGGGUGAGCGGCGGACGGGUUAGUAACGCGUGGGAACGUACCCAGAUCUAAGGAAUAGCCACUGGAAACGGUGAGUAAUACCUUAUACGCCCUUCGGGGGAAAGAUUUAUCGGAUUUGGAUCGGCCCGCGUUAGAUUAGAUAGUUGGUGGGGUAACGGCCUACCAAGUCUACGAUCUAUAGCUGGUUUUAGAGGAUGAUCAGCAACACUGGGACUGAGACACGGCCCAGACUCCUACGGGAGGCAGCAGUGGGGAAUCUUAGACAAUGGGCGCAAGCCUGAUCUAGCCAUGCCGCGUGAGUGACGAAGGCCCUAGGGUCGUAAAGCUCUUUCGCCAGGGAUGAUAAUGACAGUACCUGGUAAAGAAACCCCGGCUAACUCCGUGCCAGCAGCCGCGGUAAUACGGAGGGGGUUAGCGUUGUUCGGAAUUACUGGGCGUAAAGCGCGCGUAGGCGGAUUGGAAAGUUGGGGGUGAAAUCCCGGGGCUCAACCCCGGAACUGCCUCCAAAACUAUCAGUCUAGAGUUCGAGAGAGGUGAGUGGAACUCCGAGUGUAGAGGUGAAAUUCGUAGAUAUUCGGAAGAACACCAGUGGCGAAGGCGGCUCACUGGCUCGAU
RNAcentral lists this ribosomal RNA (649 nucleotides) under uncultured bacterium. Its description in RNAcentral is "bacterial SSU rRNA". It matches the Rfam family "Bacterial small subunit ribosomal RNA", at positions 43 to 738 of the family's 1533-position model. The record is from RNAcentral.